GCUCCUCCUCUGCUCAACUGGACAUUAGCAGGGCCGUUUCUCACGCUUCUCCUUCCUCUCUCCCCACUGCUGGACAGCAGCCGCUGUCCUCUUUCUUCUCCUCCCCUCUGGGUUCAUGCCCCAAGGCGCCGCAACCUCGCGCGCUGGGCUCAGCUUUGCCCUGUGGCAGUGCCACCGGAGCCAGAUCAGAUUGCUGGCAUCUGCCUUGGGGCAGCCCUGCCUUCUCCUCAGAGGCCACCGUCAACCUCCACUGACGGCACCUACACCCCCUACACGUCUAUAGGAACACACGUCUUGUAACACCUGAGCACGUCCUGCUCCAAAGGGACUAGCCAGCCGGUCCGAGGGAGAUGGCAGAAAAUGACAGCUGCUAAAAACAAAGGCCGCUCAGCCAAUCACUGAGCGCUACGCAAACCCGUGGCUUACAAAGUGCCACAAAAUGGAGGCUCCCCCCUAUGGAAUGUGGACUGAAACAAAAUGGCGCCCCUGCAGUUUCACAAAAUGGCGGCAGCUCCCUGUGAAAGGCAGACUGAAAGAAAAUGGCGCCUCCCUAUGUAGGUAAAGGGGAGGGAUUUCCUGUCCGGGCCACCCCUCCCUUUGGGCAGGCCCAGUAGCGCUGGGACCUCCCCUUCACUCCCAAAACAUUCCUUGCCCUGGCAUGCACUCUGCGCAGUGUGCCUCCAGCUGGUAGCUGGGAAGAGCUGCAGGAUGGAGGCGCCGCUCAGCAGAGCACCACCACCCGCAGAAGCAGCAGCAGCAGCAGCAGCUGCACGCUCCACACUGCUCGGCGUCUCGCCGGCCGAGCGGUAGGGGGAGCUCAUCUGCCCGCUGUGUGUAGUCAGGUGAGCCUGAAGCGGUAAAGUCGGCGAGCGGGACCCCAGAUAGCGGUGAGCGUGGGGAGGUGUUUGUUGGCCCCUUUCUAGGCGGCCAGGUGGGCCCUUCCUGUUCUUCACCGGGAAGGUGAGAGAACAAGUGACCUGCACACCCUGACCGUGUUUGUGCGAUUUGAACUGCUGUGGUGCUUGUGUCCAGGUGCUUUCUUUUCUCGGCGUUACAGGUCACGUGCCGGGCAAGAAAACACAGCCGCUGCAAAAACAAAUGCGGCUGGUAGAACAGUCUUGCGCCCACCUGGUGCACGGGUCACUUAGUGAUGGCCUUAAGCAAUCCUUCCGCUUGCCAUAUGCACACGCCGGGAGUCACCUGAGCUUUCGGCACAAAGGCUGGGGCAGAUGUAACCACCACUUUCUGCUGCUGAGGAGCUCCUCCAACCAAUGCUGUCUUUCCUGGGUGUGCCUGCUGAAUUUCUGCAUUCACGCAGUUCAGCAAAAGCUUGUCUGGAAAGAACAGACUGCCCCGUUGACGCCCACGCUUUUAGGAGUACGUACACGUAUCUAAUGUUGUUAUUAUCUUGAUACACGUGUGUCUGUUUGCUAGCGUUGUCGUGGUUUAGCCCCGCAGACUGAUAAACAGCCCUGUCUCACCGGCCCCAGGUCGGGAGCGGGGACAAAGGCGGGAAGGCAACGGUGCGAGAACUCAGGGGGCUGAGAGCAAGACACCGUACUAGGGAAAGCAAAAACCAGGCCCGCACAACCAGGAAAACGGGGGACACAUUCCCUGCAUGCCAUCGGCAGGCCGAUAUUCAGCCACAUCCAGGAACAGCGCGCUCAGUGCACGUAACCAUCUCUUGGGAAGGCAAGAGCAUCCAUCCCACCAUGACCCAUUCCUCCUGCUUGACACACGCUUUCAUUGCCGAGCGUGACAUCCCGGCCCGUUUGGGCCGGCUGUGUGGCUCCGUCUCCUGGCUGUGGCUGCUCCCAGCUUCUGCUCUGUCCCCUGCCUCCUCGCUGGAUGAACAGCACAAGAAGCAGAAAAGUCCUUGGCUCUGUGCAAGCACUGCUCUGCAGCAGCCAAAAGCACGCGUGUGUUAGCACCUCUGUUUUCACGAAAAGAAUCCAAUAACCAGCACCCGUGAGACUCUGCCAGGCCACGGCACUCAAUCCCAGGCCAAAUCACAACAACUAAAGUACUGCAGUCAGAGAGCAGUGCAGUCUCGGGAGCACCUACUUGUAAGGAAAUGAAAUAGAUUUACUAGCAUGUACCAAGUGCGCUCUCUAGAUGUCGAUGAGAGUGCAUUUUGCUGUACGGCUCCCAGCUUGGCCGGCAGCCCCUUGCCAUCACAGCCCCCCUCUAACUCUCUGUCCUCUGCAGGAUCGGGUGCACAGUAAGUUGGGCAAUCUCCAGCGUUAACACUAACACAGGGAGCUCACUAUACCAAUCACCCUCACAGGCAAAACAAUCUCAACGCGCACUGAGUGGAUUUACAUUACUGCCAAUUGCAAACAGCGGCGGACAGCAAGGAACAAAACCACUUUCCACCUCUCCUCCUCUCGCUACUUCCCAGGCUCCCUUUCUCUCCUUAAUACUCAGUUCCCAGACCUCACCUCCCCACGUGCCUGCCUCGGGACCCACAGCCAUCACAGGCGGUCCGUCACAGCUCCUCCCUGAUGCUCCUUCCUCCUAACACUUCUCCCCAGCACCCACGCGGGCAAACGGAGGGCUGCUGCUUCCCUCGGGACACAUCAGCCUGCUCUGGCAUGCUCUCCUCCUUGGGCUGCAGGGGAAGCUCUGCUCCAGCUCCUGGAGCACCUCUUCCCGCUCCUCCCGCUCCUCCUGCUCUGCCUCCUCCUCCUCCCGGUCCUCAUCCUUCUCCCACCUCAGCCUGCCCCUCCUCUUGCCCCUCCUCUCCCUCCUCCUCCUGCUCCUCCUCCCGACCCACCUCCUGCUCCUCCUCUGCUCAACUGGACAUUAGCAGGGCCGUUUCUCACGCUUCUCCUUCCUCUCUCCCCACUGCUGGACAGCAGCCGCUGUCCUCUUUCUUCUCCUCCCCUCUGGGUUCAUGCCCCAAGGCGCCGCAACCUCGCGCGCUGGGCUCAGCUUUGCCCUGUGGCAGUGCCACCGGAGCCAGAUCAGAUUGCUGGCAUCUGCCUUGGGGCAGCCCUGCCUUCUCCUCAGAGGCCACCGUCAACCUCCACUGACGGCACCUACACCCCCUACACGUCUAUAGGAACACACGUCUUGUAACACCUGAGCACGUCCUGCUCCAAAGGGACUAGCCAGCCGGUCCGAGGGAGAUGGCAGAAAAUGACAGCUGCUAAAACAAAGGCCGCUCAGCCAAUCACUGAACGCUACGCAAACCCGUGGCUUACAAAGUGCCACAAAAUGGAGGCUCCCCCCUAUGGAAUGUGGACUGAAACAAAAUGGCGCCCCUGCAGUUUCACAAAAUGGCGGCAGCUCCCUGUGAAAGGCAGACUGAAAGAAAAUGGCGCCUCCCUAUGUAGGUAAAGGGGAGGGAUUUCCUGUCCGGGCCACCCCUCCCUUUGGGCAGGCCCAGUAGCGCUGGGACCUCCCCUUCACUCCCAAAACAUUCCUUGCCCUGGCAUGCACUCUGCGCAGUGUGCCUCCAGCUGGUAGCUGGGAAGAGCUGCAGGAUGGAGGCGCCGCUCAGCAGAGCACCACCACCCGCAGAAGCAGCAGCAGCAAGCAGCAGCUGCACGCUCCAAACUGCUCGGCGUCUCGCCGGCCGAGCGGUAGGGGGAGCUCAUCUGCCCGCUGUGUGUAGUCAGGUGAGCCUGAAGCGGUAAAGUCGGCGAGCGGGACCCCAGAUAGCGGUGAGCGUGGGGAGGUGUUUGUUGGCCCCUUUCUAGGCGGCCAGGUGGGCCCUUCCUGUUCUUCACCGGGAAGGUGAGAGAACAAGUGACCUGCACACCCUGACCGUGUUUGUGCGAUUUGAACUGCUGUGGUGCUUGUGUCCAGGUGCUUUCUUUUCUCGGCGUUACAGGUCACGUGCCGGGCAAGAAAACACAGCCGCUGCAAAAACAAAUGCAGCUGGUAGAACAGUCUUGUGCCCACCUGGUCCACGGGUCACUUAGUGAUGGCCUUAAGCAAUCCUUCCGCUUGCCAUAAGCGCACGCCGGGAGUCACCUGAGCUUUCGGCACAAAGGCUGGGGCAGAUGUAACCACCACUUUCUGCUGCUGAGGAGCUCCUCCAACCAAUGCUGUCUUUCCUGGGUGUGCCUGCUGAAUUUCUGCAUUCACGCAGUUCAGCAAAAGCUUGUCUGGAAAGAACAGACUGCCCCGUUGACGCCCACGCUUUUAGGAGUACGUACACGUAUCUAAUGUUGUUAUUAUCUUGAUACACGUGUGUCUGUUUGCUAGCGUUGUCGUGGUUUAGCCCCGCAGACUGAUAAACAGCCCUGUCUCACCGGCCCCAGGUCGGGAGCGGGGACAAAGGCGGGAAGGCAACGGUGCGAGAACUCAGGGGGCUGAGAGCAAGACACCGUACUAGGGAAAGCAAAAACCAGGCCCGCACAACCAGGAAAACGGGGGACACAUUCCCUGCAUGCCAUCGGCAGGCCGAUAUUCAGCCACAUCCAGGAACAGCGCGCUCAGUGCACGUAACCAUCUCUUGGGAAGGCAAGAGCAUCCAUCCCACCAUGACCCAUUCCUCCUGCUUGACACACGCUUUCAUUGCCGAGCGUGACAUCCCGGCCCGUUUGGGCCGGCUGUGUGGCUCCGUCUCCUGGCUGUGGCUGCUCCCAGCUUCUGCUCUGUCCCCUGCCUCCUCGCUGGAUGAACAGCACAAGAAGCAGAAAAGUCCUUGGCUCUGUGCAAGCACUGCUCUGCAGCAGCCAAAAGCACGCGUGUGUUAGCACCUCUGUUUUCACGAAAAGAAUCCAAUAACCAGCACCCGUGAGACUCUGCCAGGCCACGGCACUCAAUCCCAGGCCAAAUCACAACAACUAAAGUACUGCAGUCAGAGAGCAGUGCAGUCUCGGGAGCACCUACUUGUAAGGAAAUGAAAUAGAUUUACUAGCAUGUACCAAGUGCGCUCUCUAGAUGUCGAUGAGAGUGCAUUUUGCUGUACGGCUCCCAGCUUGGCCGGCAGCCCCUUGCCAUCACAGCCCCCCUCUAACUCUCUGUCCUCAGCAGGAUCGGGUGCACAGUAAGUUGGGCAAUCUCCAGCGUUAACACUAACACAGGGAGCUCACUAUACCAAUCACCCUCACAGGCAAAACAAUCUCAACGCGCACUGAGUGGAUUUACAUUACUGCCAAUUGCAAACAGCGGCGGACAGCAAGGAACAAAACCACUUUCCACCUCUCCUCCUCUCGCUACUUCCCAGGCUCCCUUUCUCUCCUUAAUACUCAGUUCCCAGACCUCACCUCCCCACGUGCCUGCCUCGGGACCCACAGCCAUCACAGGCGGUCCGUCACAGCUCCUCCCUGAUGCUCCUUCCUCCUAACACUUCUCCCCAGCACCCACGCGGGCAAACGGAGGGCUGCUGCUUCCCUCGGGACACAUCAGCCUGCUCUGGCAUGCUCUCCUCCUUGGGCUGCAGGGGAAGCUCUGCUCCAGCUCCUGGAGCACCUCUUCCCGCUCCUCCCGCUCCUCCUGCUCUGCCUCCUCCUCCUCCCGGUCCUCAUCCUUCUCCCACCUCAGCCUGCCCCUCCUCUUGCCCCUCCUCUCCCUCCUCCUCCUGCUCCUCCUCCCGACCCACCUCCUGCUCCUCCUCUGCUCAACUGGACAUUAGCAGGGCCGUUUCUCACGCUUCUCCUUCCUCUCUCCCCACUGCUGGACAGCAGCCGCUGUCCUCUUUCUUCUCCUCCCCUCUGGGUUCAUGCCCCAAGGCGCCGCAACCUCGCGCGCUGGGCUCAGCUUUGCCCUGUGGCAGUGCCACCGGAGCCAGAUCAGAUUGCUGGCAUCUGCCUUGGGGCAGCCCUGCCUUCUCCUCAGAGGCCACCGUCAACCUCCACUGACGGCACCUACACCCCCUACACGUCUAUAGGAACACACGUCUUGUAACACCUGAGCACGUCCUGCUCCAAAGGGACUAGCCAGCCGGUCCGAGGGAGAUGGCAGAAAAUGACAGCUGCUAAAACAAAGGCCGCUCAGCCAAUCACUGAGCGCUACGCAAACCCGUGGCUUACAAAGUGCCACAAAAUGGAGGCUCCCCCCUAUGGAAUGUGGACUGAAACAAAAUGGCGCCCCUGCAGUUUCACAAAAUGGCGGCAGCUCCCUGUGAAAGGCAGACUGAAAGAAAAUGGCGCCUCCCUAUGUAGGUAAAGGGGAGGGAUUUCCUGUCCGGGCCACCCCUCCCUUUGGGCAGGCCCAGUAGCGCUGGGACCUCCCCUUCACUCCCAAAACAUUCCUUGCCCUGGCAUGCACUCUGCGCAGUGUGCCUCCAGCUGGUAGCUGGGAAGAGCUGCAGGAUGGAGGCGCCGCUCAGCAGAGCACCACCACCCGCAGAAGCAGCAGCAGCAGCAGCAGCUGCACGCUCCACACUGCUCGGCGUCUCGCCGGCCGAGCGGUAGGGGGAGCUCAUCUGCCCGCUGUGUGUAGUCAGGUCACGUGCCGGGCAAGAAAACACAGCCGCUGCAAAAACAAAUGCGGCUGGUAGAACAGUCUUGUGCCCACCUGGUCCACGGGUCACUUAGUGAUGGCCUUAAGCAAUCCUUCCGCUUGCCAUAAGCGCACGCCGGGAGUCACCUGAGCUUUCGGCACAAAGGCUGGGGCAGAUGUAACCACCACUUUCUGCUGCUGAGGAGCUCCUCCAACCAAUGCUGUCUUUCCUGGGUGUGCCUGCUGAAUUUCUGCAUUCACGCAGUUCAGCAAAAGCUUGUCUGGAAAGAACAGACUGCCCCGUUGACGCCCACGCUUUUAGGAGUACGUACACGUAUCUAAUGUUGUUAUUAUCUUGAUACACGUGUGUCUGUUUGCUAGCGUUGUCGUGGUUUAGCCCCGCAGACUGAUAAACAGCCCUGUCUCACCGGCCCCAGGUCGGGAGCGGGGACAAAGGCGGGAAGGCAACGGUGCGAGAACUCAGGGGGCUGAGAGCAAGACACCGUACUAGGGAAAGCAAAAACCAGGCCCGCACAACCAGGAAAACGGGGGACACAUUCCCUGCAUGCCAUCGGCAGGCCGAUAUUCAGCCACAUCCAGGAACAGCGCGCUCAGUGCACGUAACCAUCUCUUGGGAAGGCAAGAGCAUCCAUCCCACCAUGACCCAUUCCUCCUGCUUGACACACGCUUUCAUUGCCGAGCGUGACAUCCCGGCCCGUUUGGGCCGGCUGUGUGGCUCCGUCUCCUGGCUGUGGCUGCUCCCAGCUUCUGCUCUGUCCCCUGCCUCCUCGCUGGAUGAACAGCACAAGAAGCAGAAAAGUCCUUGGCUCUGUGCAAGCACUGCUCUGCAGCAGCCAAAAGCACGCGUGUGUUAGCACCUCUGUUUUCACGAAAAGAAUCCAAUAACCAGCACCCGUGAGACUCUGCCAGGCCACGGCACUCAAUCCCAGGCCAAAUCACAACAACUAAAGUACUGCAGUCAGAGAGCAGUGCAGUCUCGGGAGCACCUACUUGUAAGGAAAUGAAAUAGAUUUACUAGCAUG
Molecule: long non-coding RNA, 7442 nt
Organism: Gallus gallus (chicken)
Lineage: Eukaryota; Metazoa; Chordata; Aves; Galliformes; Phasianidae
Exons: 2
Source: RefSeq, a predicted model, not a curated record